Molecule: non-coding RNA, 310 nt
Organism: Schizosaccharomyces pombe (fission yeast)
Lineage: Eukaryota; Fungi; Ascomycota; Schizosaccharomycetes; Schizosaccharomycetales; Schizosaccharomycetaceae
Source: the annotation of a GenBank genome assembly
AACAAUCCAUUUCCUAACAAUAUGAACUUGCAAAAUCUUAUUUUGGGAAAGACGAUAUACCUUAUACGAUGUAGAGCUAUUGACAAAAACUUGUUGACCUAAUUAAUUUGCAAGCUAAUUGAUUUUACAAAGUUAUCGUCAUGCAAAACUACCAAAAACGUGUGAUAAAAUCUAAAAAUCAUGUACAGAGCUACAAAUCUACUGAAAUCUAUAAAUUUCGGAAAAGAACAGGACAUACUAUUAAAAUGGUUUAAGAUAUACUUAAGCACGACCAGCCUCGAUAACCUUGGCGUUGAAACGUUCCUUGCGC